CAUCAUCAUAAUUUUUCUUAUUUCUGCAGCAGGCAAUAAUUCUGCAAGAGCUCCCGAGGAAGAAAAAAAAUCUGAAGGUUCCAUUUUGGUUUUUUUGUCCUUUUUUCUAAUCAAAAUGUUAAAAUAACUUUUCCACACAUUCCUGAGUUUCUUUUCUUCUUCAAACUGAAGAAUUUGCAGAUAUGUCAGUGGGAAAAUCUGCAGAGAAGUUCCACAACAGUCGUUCCCCAGGUACGUGAGAUCUGAUGUCAAGCAAAUGAAUUGACAACGAUAAUAUGCUAGAAAUACAACCAAACACCCUUUCUGACAGUUUCAGUGCCAGAAGCUCCUGAGCAAACUGGAGGUGAAAGCAGAGGUGCAGUAUAAACCUUCACACUGUCUGCAACACUGACGCUGGCGCUGAAACAACUUCUGUCUUUCUGUGAUGCGUUCAAAGACCUCGGCAGCCGUGAGACCCUCAGGUCUCCUUCCAGGAGGACAGGAGGAGUGAACAGUGACGACGUGCAGUCGGCGGACACCACAAGCACGCUGCAGCAGGACCUCAGGAGCUCGGACCACAGCGGGCCUCAGGGGGAACAGCAGGCCAGCGGAGAGCACACUGAUCUGAACAGUGAGGAAGAAGCAAUGAUGCGGCCUCAGGACACUGGGAGCCUGUCAGGAACUCACUGCAGAGACACCGGCGGGGUGAAGCGUAGGUUGGCUCCAAGCCAGAGUGGAGAAAGGCCAGAUGAAGAGAGUUUGGAGGAAAGACUGGCUGCAGUGGGUAAAGCUCGAGAUGCAGACGAUGACGAAACCCGGGAGUACAUGAGUUCUGAAAUACAUCCGUAUGCACGUCCAGGACCCGGUCCCAUCCAGCCAUCUUUUCCUGCAUGGAGUCGUACCUCCUGAUGCUCAUAGCGGAGAUUGGACUUCUUCCUCCUCGUGAUUCAGGGACCUGUGUCUGUUGACUCACCAGUAGCAGACACUCUUCUUCCACAAGUUUUGGAACUUUUUCCAUCCUAUAUUUAGAUUUUUACAUGUAUCUUUUUUCCCCUGGCAUCAUGUGAAGAAGACUUGAAAAUUAAAAGGUU
Molecule: long non-coding RNA, 1070 nt
Filed under: Salarias fasciatus (jewelled blenny)
Lineage: Eukaryota; Metazoa; Chordata; Actinopteri; Blenniiformes; Blenniidae
Description: lncRNA (ENSSFAG00005001472.1)
Source: RNAcentral